Non-coding RNA from Pristionchus pacificus, 61 nucleotides. Lineage: Eukaryota; Metazoa; Nematoda; Chromadorea; Rhabditida; Neodiplogasteridae. The record is from Rfam.
UCUUCAUUUCACAUGCUCUCUCACCGGUCAGAGAGGCGAGAGAGUGUGCGAAAUGAAGAGA